CAUGCAAGUCGAGGGGCAGCAUGGUCUUAGCUUGCUAAGGCCGAUGGCGACCGGCGCACGGGUGAGUAACACGUAUCCAACCUGCCGUCUACUCUUGGACAGCCUUCUGAAAGGAAGAUUAAUACAAGAUGGCAUCAUGAGUCCGCAUGUUCACAUGAUUAAAGGUAUUCCGGUAGACGAUGGGGAUGCGUUCCAUUAGAUAGUAGGCGGGGUAACGGCCCACCUAGUCUUCGAUGGAUAGGGGUUCUGAGAGGAAGGUCCCCCACAUUGGAACUGAGACACGGUCCAAACUCCUACGGGAGGCAGCAGUGAGGAAUAUUGGUCAAUGGGCGAGAGCCUGAACCAGCCAAGUAGCGUGAAGGAUGACUGCCCUAUGGGUUGUAAACUUCUUUUAUAAAGGAAUAAAGUCGGGUAUGNAUACCCGUUUGCAUGUNCUUUAUGAAUAAGGAUCGGCUAACUCCGUGCCAGCAGCCGCGGUAAUACGGAGGAUCCGAGCGUUAUCCGAAUUUAUUGGGUUUAAAGGGAGCGUAGAUGGAUGUUUAAGUCAGUUGUGAAAGUUUGCGGCUCAACCGUAAAAUUGCAGUUGAUACUGGAUAUCUUGAGUGCAGUUGAGGCAGGCGGAAUUCGUGGUGUAGCGGUGAAAUGCUUAGAUAUCACGAAGAACUCCGAUUGCGAAGGCAGCCUGCUAAGCUGCAACUGACAUUGAGGCUCGAAAGUGUGGGUAUCAAACAGGAUUAGAUACCCUGGUAGUCCACACGGUAAACGAUGAAUACUCGCUGUUUGCGAUAUACGGCAAGCGGCCAAGCGAAAGCGUUAAGUAUUCCACCUGGGGAGUACGCCGGCAACGGUGAAACUCAAAGGAAUUGACGGGGGCCCGCACAAGCGGAGGAACAUGUGGUUUAAUUCGAUGAUACGCGAGGAACCUUACCCGGGCUUAAAUUGCAGAUGAAUUACGGUGAAAGCCGUAAGCCGCAAGGCAUCUGUGAAGGUGCUGCAUGGUUGUCGUCAGCUCGUGCCGUGAGGUGUCGGCUUAAGUGCCAUAACGAGCGCAACCCUUGUUGUCAGUUACUAACAGGUUCCGCUGAGGACUCUGACAAGACUGCCAUCGUAAGAUGUGAGGAAGGUGGGGAUGACGUCAAAUCAGCACGGCCCUUACGUCCGGGGCUACACACGUGUUACAAUGGGGGGUACAGAGGGCCGCUACCACGCGAGUGGAUGCCAAUCCCAAAAACCUCUCUCAGUUCGGACUGGAGUCUGCAACCCGACUCCACGAAGCUGGAUUCGCUAGUAAUCGCGCAUCAGCCACGGCGCGGUGAAUACGUUCCCGGGCCUUGUACACACCGCCCGUCAAGCCAUGGGAGCCGGGGGUACCUGAAGUGCGUAACC
Molecule: ribosomal RNA, 1386 nt
Filed under: bacterium NLAE-zl-P483
Lineage: Bacteria
Description: 16S ribosomal RNA
Rfam family: Bacterial small subunit ribosomal RNA
Source: RNAcentral